Molecule: long non-coding RNA, 1448 nt
Organism: Gorilla gorilla gorilla (western lowland gorilla)
Lineage: Eukaryota; Metazoa; Chordata; Mammalia; Primates; Hominidae
Exons: 8
Source: RefSeq, a predicted model, not a curated record
AGUCUGGAAGAUCAAGUCCGAAUUUAGAAUUCUAGGACUGGAAUUCCAGGCAAGCAGAGCUGCCAAAAUCCUUCUCUAUGCGUUCCACUUCCCCUUUACACUGCAUGGGCGGACACUUGGCCACCACCGGGGCCUUGGGGUGAGCACACGCUCAGGAGGAAGGACCUAAAGAAACGCUUUUGCAAGCCCUGAAAACAACAGUGAUGAAGUAGAACUGCAUGUAACAAUAUGGAUACAUCUGAAAAAUACGCUGUUAAAUGAGCAAAACAGAUUGCAGACGGAUAGUUUCAUAGGUUAAGAAGAAGAAAUGUACUCAAAGAGCUGUACUUAAGGAAUUAAAACUGAGGAGCCCCAACUGCACCUGGACCUGAUUUAGAUGACAAGAUUUUGGAUAUUCAGCUCACACUGCAAUGGGAUGAGACUUCGCAGUCCUUGGAGGGAAAAUAGCAAUGGCAUGUGACCAACACAACACAUGAGAACACGGUUAAUCCAAUUUUCCUGAGCUGAAAGAGAGAGGACAGAAAGAGCAAGGAACAAACAAGAAGAAAAUCAAGGGGAAAGCAAGAAAAAAACGAAAGCCAAUGGAGUAUGAAGAAGACUACGUGCAAUAUACAAGAUAACUCACCAUGUGAAUUUUAAAAAAACAUGAAAAGCAUACCACCUCUCUGAACUCAUGUAGCAAAUUCCAUUACGAAAGUCCAAGCAGCAAAACGAAGCACCUGAGAUCACAGAGCUCUUCAGUGAAGUGCAAAAGAUGACUGAAGAAAUUGAGUUAUGUUCCGUCAUGAGAAGCACUAGAGUAACAUGAUAACAAAACCACCCUCCCUAUGGGAAAGAGGAGGAAGCCAGGGAAUAAAUGGUGUGGCUAGAAUGGUGCAUUUAUAUAUUUCUUUCACUUCCGAAGACUGACCUCUCCCAAUAAAGAGAUUUGGAGCGGCACUAAGAAGAAAUGGCAAUUGCCAAAUGGAGAUACUGGAAUAAUGACCACCCUGAUUGGACUUAAGAAGCUGAGAGAAUGGAGAGCUGAUGUAUGGCUGCAAUUAGAAAGUUUCAAAACGACUGCUUUAAAACACCAGAGAACCAGUGCCUAUUUGGAAAAGUAAUAUGGGCACACAAGGAAGAAAGCAAUGCAGUGACAUAUAUCAACAAGGCUACUGAACGAUGAUAGCUAUGCCAGAGAAAAGCAUUACAUAAUGACAUCAAAAUAGGACACUUGAGGAAUGUCUUAGAGCUAAAAUGGCUGUCACCUGGUAUUUUGGCAUUAUUGAAGAACAUGAAGAGAUAGUCCCUGGAAACUGGAGAGUACAGCUUAUUUGCAACAACAAUUUUCAGAGGUCAAGAACAUGUUUUCCUCAUUUUUUAAAAAAGUUAAGCUCUUAAUUUUCACUUGAGAAAAUUAUGAUGCUCUAAAAUGUCUAAUACCUAAACACUGCCUAUAGGUAGGCAUC